Molecule: long non-coding RNA, 693 nt
Organism: Panicum virgatum (switchgrass)
Lineage: Eukaryota; Viridiplantae; Streptophyta; Magnoliopsida; Poales; Poaceae
Exons: 2
Source: RefSeq, a predicted model, not a curated record
CACCGGUCAGAAGGAACUAAACGUGAGUGAUGACUGUGAAUUUCAAUUAAGACAGACGUUUUUUUUUCAAAAGAAUCGGCAAAGCCUGCUAGAAACUUUGGGAGAACAGCCAGCAAUGCCACCAAGGACACCCUCCCACCAUGGACACCGAGGUUGGGUAAGCCCCCAAAACCUUCAACAAGAUCAUCUGAGUUAAAACAUGAAGGGUGUGUGGAUAUCUAAUGCUAACUGAAAGAAUGCUGAGCUUAACAGCAUACUGCAGCCUAGACAUUUCAUCUGAAGUACUCAAGAAACCAUGUGUAUGCCAACGUCGACAGGUAACAGAAAAAUGAAGAGGCUGAUGUGUUCUAUAUCUCCAAAAAAGGGAAGCAAAGAAUAAAAAGUAUUUUCUUACAUUUCAAUUGAUGCUGUUGAUCUGAAACCUAAAAACUAAUGCGUAAUGGAAAAUGGAUAAAACCUCCAGAAGAAAGUGGUUGCAAUCCUUUGUAACUGUAUCUACUCAUGGAGGAUCAUGUGCAAAUAGGUGUCACUUCAAUCAGGUGGGAAAGACAUAUUUUGUGCUAAUACCAAGUAUAUUGUUACAUCCUCCAUCCCACCCGGAACAAACAAACAAAUUGCUAUGAGUGCUUCUGUAAAUUGGACUGAACUCAAUCAUGUCGAAAUACAUAGCAGCAGCAGCGACUUAUCGAAACU